Molecule: ribosomal RNA, 693 nt
Filed under: Triticum aestivum (bread wheat)
Lineage: Eukaryota; Viridiplantae; Streptophyta; Magnoliopsida; Poales; Poaceae
Description: partial small subunit ribosomal RNA
Source: RNAcentral
CCCGCGACCUCCGCAGAAGCGCAGAUAGAGGAGGAACCCCCGUAGCAGAACCUCGGCCGAUGCUAACCCUCUGACCACCUAACGCCGUAGAAGCGGCACCUACCGCCGUAGAAGCGGCACCUACCGCCGUAGAAGCGGCGCACCAAACCACUCCGCCCCGCGAUCAAAAACAAACCGUUGCUACUACCGCAGCUCACCUCGAGCCCAGCGCCGCACCUGAAGCCAUCAGCCAAGAAGGGCCGCACAGGCUCCACGAGAGGGCACCCAACGAACCAACGAAACUUCAGCCUCGACGCCACCUCGCCCAGGUCCACCACUGCUACUGUCCGCGGGCUACCAGCAAACGCCACACGUGCCAGCCGCGUUCAGGUCGUAUAAAGGGAACACUCCGAGCAACAGUUUCAGCCUCGACAGCCAACGAACACGCACACCAGUAGGCCACCGUACACGGCAGCACCAAACAGGUACAGUCACCGGUCCAACCGGCCACCACGGGUACAGUACACCUAACUCAACAUAGCUAAAAUCGGGCCAAAAGGCAGUUAAUUGGUCCGUUACGAGAAGAAGAAUUAGUUACUUUUACCGUUUAGAAAACGGAGCAAAGUUUUUUUCUUCUUGUCUCGUAACAUUAAUUCAAACUUGAACGUGCACACCAUGAACACUGUCAGAUGGAAAUGAACCUUAUUGGCAUGA